GGGGUCAUGGUCCAACGGGAGGACAUCGCGCUGGCAGCGCGAAGGUGAGGGUUCGACUCCCUCUGAUUCCA
Molecule: transfer RNA, 71 nt
Filed under: Myxococcales bacterium
Lineage: Bacteria; Pseudomonadati; Myxococcota; Myxococcia; Myxococcales
Description: tRNA-Ala
Rfam family: tRNA
About the family: Transfer RNA (tRNA) molecules are approximately 80 nucleotides in length. Their secondary structure includes four short double-helical elements and three loops (D, anti-codon, and T loops). Further hydrogen bonds mediate the characteristic L-shaped molecular structure. tRNAs have two regions of fundamental functional importance: the anti-codon, which is responsible for specific mRNA codon recognition, and the 3' end, to which the tRNAs corresponding amino acid is attached (by aminoacyl-tRNA synthetases). tRNAs cope with the degeneracy of the genetic code in two manners: having more than one tRNA (with a specific anti-codon) for a particular amino acid; and 'wobble' base-pairing, i.e. permitting non-standard base-pairing at the 3rd anti-codon position.
Source: RNAcentral